Molecule: ribosomal RNA, 276 nt
Filed under: uncultured bacterium
Lineage: Bacteria
Description: partial 16S ribosomal RNA
Rfam family: Bacterial small subunit ribosomal RNA
Source: RNAcentral
GAUCAUGGCUCAGGAUGAACGCUGGCGGCGCGCCUAACACAUGCAAGUCGAACGGCACCCCUCUCCGGAGGGAAGCGAGUGGCGAACGGCUGAGUAACACGUGGAGAACCUGCCCCCCUCCCCCGGGAUAGCCGCCCGAAAGGACGGGUAAUACCGGAUACCCCCGGGCGCCGCAUGGCGCCCGGGCUAAAGCCCCGACGGGAGGGGAUGGCUCCGCGGCCCAUCAGGUAGACGGCGGGUGACGGCCCGACCCGUGCCGACCAACGGUAGCCGGGU